This is a long non-coding RNA of Bos taurus (domestic cattle), 427 nucleotides long. NCBI's taxonomy places the organism in Eukaryota, Metazoa, Chordata, Mammalia, Artiodactyla, Bovidae. The record is from Ensembl.
GGUGGGGCUCACAAGGAAGACCAGGACCCCUGCUGCUUACACCUGCUUUUGACACAACUUGCAGCUACACAAACACACAUCAUGGUGUAUCUGACUCUUGAGAAGAAGGCUACUGUCAUUGACUUGUGGAGGGCACAGCUUGAGAUGAGACUGAAAUACUAAGUCCAAAUUGGGUGCCUCUGCUAACAUUGUCCUUGUUUUUUAUCUCUGCCACACAGCUCCUGGGCAAUAUACUGGCCACAAGACAUGUCAGAUCUUAGCUCCCUGAACAGAAAUAGAACUCUCACCCCCUACAUUAGACCAAGCCUUAAACACUAGACUGUCACGGAAGUCCCAGUAUUUCCCCAGAUUUUAUCUUCUGAACUUGGCGAAAUAAUGUCCACCCUCAAUGAUAUGACUUCUUCCAAAUAAAGAACUUUCAGCUCAA